Molecule: ribosomal RNA, 485 nt
Filed under: Svercus palmetorum
Lineage: Eukaryota; Metazoa; Arthropoda; Insecta; Orthoptera; Gryllidae
Description: partial 16S ribosomal RNA
Rfam family: Archaeal large subunit ribosomal RNA
Source: RNAcentral
CUUCUUGAUUUAAUAUGAAGUCGUGCCUGCCCACUGAUUAAUUAAAUGGCCGCGGUAUAUUGACCGUGCAAAGGUAGCAUAAUCAUUAGUCUUUUAAUUGGAGGCUGGAAUGAAUGGUUUGACGAAGCAAUAACUGUCUCGGUAUAAUGUAUUGAAUUUUACUUUUGAGUCAAAAGGCUCAAAUGAGGAUAGGGGACGAGAAGACCCUAUAGAUCUUGAUAAUGGAUAUUAAAAUUUGUGUUUAGUAGUUUUUUGUAAAUAUUAAUAUCUUAUAUUUGGUUGGGGUGACAAGAGAAUAUAAUAACUUCUUAUUAUUUUACUAUGAUGGUUGGUUAAUUGAUCCUAUAUUUUGGAAUGAAGAUAAAGAUACCUUAGGGAUAACAGCGUAAUUUUAUUGGAGAGUUCUUAUUGAUAAUAAAGAUUGCGACCUCGAUGUUGGAUUAAGAAAAUUGUUAAGUGCAGAAGCUUAAUAUAUUGGUCUGUUC